Molecule: non-coding RNA, 30 nt
Filed under: Halorubrum vacuolatum
Lineage: Archaea; Methanobacteriati; Methanobacteriota; Halobacteria; Halobacteriales; Haloferacaceae
Source: RNAcentral
GUUUCAGAUGGACCUCUGUGGUGUUGAAGC